ACCUGAUGCAGCGACGCCGCGUGAGGGAUGACGGCCUUCGGGUUGUAAACCUCUUUCAGCAGGGAAGAAGCGCAAGUGACGGUACCUGCAGAAGAAGCACCGGCUAACUACGUGCCAGCAGCCGCGGUAAUACGUAGGGUGCGAGCGUUGUCCGGAAUUAUUGGGCGUAAAGAGCUCGUAGGCGGCCUGUCGCGUCGGAUGUGAAAGCCCGGGGCUUAACCCCGGGUCUGCAUUCGAUACGGGCAGGCUAGAGUGUGGUAGGGGAGAUCGGAAUUCCUGGUGUAGCGGUGAAAUGCGCAGAUAUCAGGAGGAACACCGGUGGCGAAGGCGGAUCUCUGGGCCAUUACUGACGCUGAGGAGCGAAAGCGUGGGGAGCGAACAGGAUUAGAUACCCUGGUAGUCCACGCCGUAAACGUUGGGAACUAGGUGUUGGCGACAUUCCACGUCGUCGGUGCCGCAGCUAACGCAUUAA
This 472-nucleotide ribosomal RNA is filed under the name Kitasatospora griseola. RNAcentral describes it as "bacterial SSU rRNA". It matches the Rfam family "Bacterial small subunit ribosomal RNA", at positions 381 to 863 of the family's 1533-position model. Lineage: Bacteria; Bacillati; Actinomycetota; Actinomycetes; Kitasatosporales; Streptomycetaceae. The record is from RNAcentral.